AGAGUUUGAUCCUGGCUCAGAGUGAACGCUGGCGGUAGGCCUAACACAUGCAAGUCGAACGGCAGCACAGUAAGAGCUUGCUCUUACGGGUGGCGAGUGGCGGACGGGUGAGGAAUACAUCGGAAUCUACUUUUUCGUGGGGGAUAACGUAGGGAAACUUACGCUAAUACCGCAUACGACCUACGGGUGAAAGCAGGGGAUCUUCGGACCUUGCGCGAUUGAAUGAGCCGAUGUCGGAUUAGCUAGUUGGCGGGGUAAAGGCCCACCAAGGCGACGAUCCGUAGCUGGUCUGAGAGGAUGAUCAGCCACACUGGGACUGAGACACGGUCCAGACUCCUACGGGAGGCAGCAGUGGGGAAUAUUGGACAAUGGGCGCAAGCCUGAUCCAGCCAUACCGCGUGGGUGAAGAAGGCCUUCGGGUUGUAAAGCCCUUUUGUUGGGAAAGAAAUCCAGCUGGUUAAUACCCGGUUGGGAUGACGGUACCCAAAGAAUAAGCACCGGCUAACUUCGUGCCAGCAGCCGCGGUAAUACGAAGGGUGCAAGCGUUACUCGGAAUUACUGGGCGUAAAGCGUGCGUAGGUGGUUGUUUAAGUCUGUUGUGAAAGCCCUGGGCUCAACCUGGGAACUGCAGUGGAAACUGGACGACUAGAGUGUGGUAGAGGGUAGCGGAAUUCCUGGUGUAGCAGUGAAAUGCGUAGAGAUCANGAGGAACAUCCAUGGCGAAAGCAGCUACCUGGACCAACACUGACACUGAGGCACGAAAGCGUGGGGAGCAAACAGGAUUAGAUACCCUGGUAGUCCACGCCCUAAACGAUGCGAACUGGAUGUUGGU
RNAcentral lists this ribosomal RNA (832 nucleotides) under uncultured bacterium. RNAcentral's name for it is "bacterial SSU rRNA". It matches the Rfam family "Bacterial small subunit ribosomal RNA", at positions 8 to 827 of the family's 1533-position model. The record is from RNAcentral.